GACGAACGCUGGCGGCGUGCCUAACACAUGCAAGUCGAGCGAGUGAAUCUCCUUCGGGAGUGAAGCUAGCGGCGGACGGGUGAGUAACACGUGGGCAACCUGCCUCAUAGAGGGGAAUAGCCUUCCGAAAGGAAGAUUAAUACCGCAUAAGAUUGUAGCUUCGCAUGAAGUAGCAAUUAAAGGAGCAAUCCGCUAUGGGAUGGGCCCGGGGCGCAUUAGCUAGUUGGUGAGGUAACGGCUCACCAAGGCGACGAUGCGUAGCCGACCUGAGAGGGUGAUCGGCCACAGUGGGACUGAGACACGGCCCAGACUCCGACGGGAGGCAGCAGUGGGGAAUAUUGCACAAUUGGGGAAACCCUGAUGCAGCAACGCCGCGUGAGUGAUGACGGCCUUCGGGUUGUAAAGCUCUGUCUUCAGGGACGAUAAUGACGGUACCUGAGGAGGAAGCCACGGCUAACUACGUGCCAGCAGCCGCGGUAA
Molecule: ribosomal RNA, 480 nt
Filed under: uncultured bacterium
Lineage: Bacteria
Description: partial 16S ribosomal RNA
Rfam family: Bacterial small subunit ribosomal RNA
Source: RNAcentral